This 6981-nucleotide long non-coding RNA is filed under the name Populus tremula. Its description in RNAcentral is "long non-coding RNA (PTRE_LNC001600)". The record is from RNAcentral. Lineage: Eukaryota; Viridiplantae; Streptophyta; Magnoliopsida; Malpighiales; Salicaceae.
GCAUUCUCACCUAUAUAACCAAACCCCAUCCUUCCAUUGGAUUCAUCAAAGCAUAGCUCGUGUUAUCUUACUCUCUACAAAUCCCACUACAAACUUGUUGGUUCUAUAUUACAGUAACAUAAAAAAUGAGUUCAGCGAGUAAAGCUUGGUUGGUUGCCGCUGCUAUCGGAGGUGUUGAGGCGUUGAAAGAUCAAGGGUUCUGUAGGUGGAACUACACCUUGAGAUCCCUACACCACCAUGCCAAGAACCAUGUCAGAUCAGCCUCUCAGGCCAAGAAGCUUUCUUCUUCAUCCUCAGCCAUGAUCUCAAAUAUAGUCAAGGAAGAGAAGGCAAAACAGUCAGAGGAGUCUUUAAGAAAAGUCAUGUACUUGAGUUGUUGGGGUCCAAACUGAAGCUAUGAAUCUAGUAGAUGAAAUCGAGGGACUUAGUUUGUAGGAGUAAAUCCUUGCAAGCUUAUGCAAAUUGUAAAAUUUGAUGCUCAUUUGGAGCUGUAGAGGCAUUGAAGGACCAGGGUUUUUGCAGAUGGACCUACACCAUGAGAUCAUUACACAAACAUGCCAAGAAUAAUACGAGGUCAAUCUCUCAGGCCAGGAAGCUUUCUUCUUCAUCUUUUGCUAUGGUUUCGAAUAAAUUGAGGGGAUCAAGCCAAUACGAGGAGUCUCUGAGGAAAGUCAUGUACUUGAGUUGUUGGGGUCCAAAUUAAAUGAGUUUAGAAGUUUGCCAUGAGAAUCUGAUGCCUUAUGCAGGCUGAAGCUGGUCCAUUGAGAAGAACAUAGCCAAAGCCAUGAUUAUGGUUUGUGAGAGAAAAUUUGCGGGGCUUGAUUAGUGAUUGAUGCAAGCCUAGUGUUAACUGUAGCUAGUCUGACUGCCAUCUCAUGAUCAGCUUGUAAUUACACCAUUGCUAUACGCAACACGAAAAUUUUGUGGAACAAAAUAUGUUGUCACCAUCUUCCUAUCUUUUGCUAUCCCUUUUUAAUUGAUGUCCCAUGCAAUCUCAAAAAUCUUGCUUGUUCUUUGAUCAUUUCGUUGUGAGAUGUUGCCACCAAAUUUUCAUGGUUUCUGUGACAUGGGCUAAAUGACAUUCAAACAUCCUGCUUAAUUUCGAGCAUGGAUUCAGCCUUUCCUUGAUAGAUCAUGGUUUGAUGCUUAACGUCAAGCAACAAGAUUGGAAACAUGUGCAUUUUCAAUUAAGAAUUCUGGAAUUUCAAAACUUUUUCUGCAGAUCUGUCUUCCAAAUUCCUACCUGUCUAUCAGUGUGACCACUUCUCACUUCAAGCAAAGCGAUUAACUAUUUCUGUGCAUGGAUAGUAGGGCUUCGAUAGGAUUUUAGAGGCUUACCUUGAAUGGUGGGCAGAAUUUUUUAGAGCAAAGGACAUUUAUAGACUUAAAUCUUGAAGUAAGGGAUAAUUUCUUCAUCUUCUUCGCCAUCAUAUCCUCCUUAACCAUGCUACUAUUCUAACACCCACACAUACACAUGGUUAUUCAAGGCUCUUUCUCUUCUACUUAAAUUGAUUUAAGCAUUGAAGGAUCAAUCAUUUUCAUCAAAAGACUUGUUUUGAAGGUUAUCAUCCAUCCCAAUACUUUCUCAAGCAGGUUUUAGUCCAACUCAACCUAAAGAGUAACUAAUUCUUUUGGAAGGGGUUUCUACAACUUCAUCACUGUUAGCUUGAAAUUGUACUCACCUAAUUAACCCUCGUUUUAAAGUUUGUGCAUGAUUUUUUUAUAUUCAAAAGUUAGCAUUCUGAGUUUUUUUUUUAAUGUAUAAUGUGUUUAUAGGAUAUGGCUUCUAAAAAUAAUUUAAAAAUAAUGGUGCUAAUUGGUGCUUACGUAUUUUCUUUUCCCAAAUCUUAUAUAAACCUUCUGUGUAAGUUGAUGGCGAGUAGGAUUUUUAUAAAUCUUCAUGUCUGGAUGUAAGUAAUUUGCUCAAUUUUGUAAGUUCCUGAAAAGGGAUCGAUUCAAGCUUUAUGUGAAUACAUGUUUACCAUAAAAUAAAAUAUGAAAAAGAUGAAUUCCAAGAAAUCGAGAGAGAAAGAGAGAGAGAGAGAGAGCUAUCCUCAGUCCCACACUUUCUUUCAGUCCUUACAAGUGGCAAAAGCACUUCAAUGAGAAGUGCCACCAAAUUGUGACAUGCAUGACUCACCACCCUUCAGCUAUGCUCCUCCUGAUACGUUGGCUUGGAUUUAUUUAUUUUACGAAGCAAAACCGUGUGCUCAUUUCAAGGCAGGCAGAGAAGCUUUUGACUUGCUGUGGAGUGAAGGGCAAAAAAAUCUAGCCAUCCCAAGAACCCGAUUUUGUCCCCACCUUCUUGUUGUCGCCAUGUGGUAGUUGAAUGUCAAUACAGUCAUCUCACCAUAAAAAAAUACCAUUGGCUUUUGCUGGUUUCCUCACCCAAAACCACCAGCAGGAAGCCUUUAGCCUCAGGUUUUUUCCUAAACUUUUGGCAUUCUCACCUAUAUAACCAAACCCCAUCCUCCCAUCGGAUUCAUCAAAGCAUAGCUCGUGUUUUCUUACUCUCCACAAAUCCCACUACAAACUUGUUGGUUCUAUAUUACAGUAACAUAAAAAAUGAGUUCAGCGAGUAAAGCUUGGUUGGUUGCCGCUGCUAUCGGAGGUGUUGAGGCGUUGAAAGAUCAAGGGUUCUGUAGGUGGAACUACACCUUGAGAUCCCUACACCACCAUGCCAAGAACCAUGUCAGAUCAGCCUCUCAGGCCAAGAAGCUUUCUUCUUCAUCCUCAGCCAUGAUCUCAAAUAUAGUCAAGGAAGAGAAGGCAAAACAGUCAGAGGAGUCUUUAAGAAAAGUCAUGUACUUGAGUUGUUGGGGUCCAAACUAAAGUAAUGAAUCUAGGAGAUGAAAUCGAGGGACUUAGUUUAUAGGAGUAAAUCGUAGCAAGCUUAUGCAAAUUGUAAAUUUUGAUGCUCAUUUGAUGAAAUCGAACAUUAUCGCAUGUUUCUACCAUUUCUUUUGGUAACGCGCAGUGCAUUUCCCUAGUGAGUAAAUUUAACAAAGCUCUUUUCUAGUUUUCAAGUGGAAUAAACAGGCAAUUAAUUUCAAUAUGAGAUAUGAAAUUCAACUCGAGGCUAAAAUCUCUUUCUCCCCACAUCCUCAAAUGGAUAAAAAGGCUACAUGAAAAACGAAAACCUCAAAUUGGAUUUGACCCCAAAGAAAAUCCAUUUUGCUGUAAAAUUCUCAGUCACUGAUCUCAACAGGAGUGAUCGUUGUGUGAAAAAUGGAACAUAAGCUUGUACUAUCAGAUAAAUUUAUUAAUAAGUAAGAUUGGAUUAGCUUCAAUAAGGAAUUAUAAUUACGAAAGCUAAAUCUUUUAAAUUUUAGAGCAAUUAGAAAUCAAAGAGUUACAUGGUUAUUAAUUUAAAAAUUCAUAAAAUUAAUUAAAAAAUAUAUGAAUUGAUUAGAACACCUAUAUUAAUUAAAAAAAAUAAUAGGAAUGAUGCUGAUUCAAAAUUAAUGUUCAUUCUUAAAUCACUCUUACAAGCUCACUAGAAUCUCUCUAUGUUAAACCCAAAUGAAAACAAAAAACUAAAAAUAUGAGCGUUUAUUUUCAGAAAAACAAAUGGUCGUGAGACCAACACAAUUUUUGCCUAAAUUUCUUUUCAAGCGCUAAUAGUUAGCAUUAGUGGAAAGCUACCUCCAAGAAUAUGGCAUGUGGCAUUCCUCGACUCUAAUUUGGCCUUUGUUGGAUUUUUUUGUUUAACAAAACGGUGUGCUCGUGAGAAGAUAGAGACAAAGUUGAUUUGUCGCAUGUCAUGCACAAAUUAAAAAAUCCACUAACGCAUCAUGUCAUAAAAAAUACCGUUGGCCUUUGCUGGUUUCCUCCCUCGAAACCACCACCAAGAAGCCUUUAGCCUAUGGUUUUUCUCCUACACUUUUGGUACACUCACCUAUAUAACCAAACCCCUUUACUCCCCUUUACUUCAUCAAAUCAUAGCUCCUGAUAUCUUAAUCUCUACAAAUCCCACUUCAAAGAGUUUCCAACUCGUUGGUUCUAUAUUACAGUAACACAGAAAAUGAGUUCAGCAAGCAAAGCUUGGUUGGUUGCAGCAGCUGUUGGAGGUGUUGAGGCCUUGAAAGACCAAGGGUUCUGCAGGUGGAACUACACCUUGAGAUCCCUCCACCAACAUGCCAAGAACCAUGUCAGAUCAGCCUCUCAGGCCAAGAAGCUUUCUUCUUCAUCCUCUGCCAUGAUCUCGAAUAAAAUCAAGGAAGUGAGAGCAAAACAGUCUGAGGAAUCUCUAAGAAAAGUCAUGUAUUUGAGCUGUUGGGGCCCUUACUAAGCAAAGAAGCAAGAACAGAGAUUGAGGAAAUUAUCGUGAUAGGAUUACCCUGAUUGUUGCAAGUCGAUGUAAAUAUUUGUAAAUUUUGUUGCUGACUUAAUGGAAUCAAACAAUAUUAUUCUUGGAUUAGUUUUUCCUUGCACCUUUUAUGUUUUCCCACUUCUUUUGGUAGCACCUCAUGUCACAGGUGAAAACUAAAGGGAUCAUGACAAGGUUCAAUUUUAGUGCAUCACAGCAUUUGCUAAGGAUAUUUAAAUUAAUUGCAACCCCAAGCUAAAUAUCUAAUUUGGUUUAAAAAGUAUUUUAAAAAAUCAGCAACUCAACUGGAGGAGGGGUUGUAUCGCAAAAGCUAAAUAUCUUGAUAGGUUGACAAAUUAGUGCAAAUCUUAAACUGGAAUUCUCAAUUUCAAUCUGGCCCAGAAGAAAAUUAGUUUAGGAGUAUUUCUUCACUCACAAGUGUUUUUUUUAAUAUUAUAUUUUAUAAUUUUUUAGUUGAAUAUUGAAUUCUUUAAUAGUUAAGUUUCAUAUUUUUAUUUAGUUUUUUUUUUUACUUUUUUAAUUAUUUUUUGCCAUGAAUAAUCUUUUGAAUAAAUAUAAAAUUUAUUUCUAGCAACAAAAUUACUAGAUAUAAUUGAGUAAUAACGCAUAAUUAAAUAUUUUAAUCUUAUUAAAUAUUUUAAUCAAAUAUUAAUUCAUUCAAUUAAAUACAUGCAUAAAUAUUGUAAUAUAUAAUUGAGAAUUUUUUAUAUUAACAACCUCAUGAAAAACUUAAUUAUUAUUUUUUUUUUUUACUAAAAAGGAUAUAUAAUCCUCUACGAAGUGCUGUUGAAAUAGUUUACAUACAGUCCUCAUUGUGCAUGGUGAAUAUUUUGCAGGAGAUUCCCGGAUCAUUAAACAACUUCAUCAUUUAAAUGAUGAAUGCAGAGAGGUAUUUAUGGUGCAGCUUGGAUUCAGUUCAAAGAGAUCCAAUAUAUGUUUCCUUGCUUCGUCCAGAUGAAGGUUACGUUUGUGUGAUUGUGGAUGGCAGCUCUCAUGGGCAAUCCAGGCGUGUCUGGAUUUGGGGAACUGGUUUGAAACAAUGACAGUCACCGGAUGGCGGGUUUCUUGGGUUUUUGUGGUUUUGGAUUGAAUCUUCUUCCGGAACUUCUGGCAAUUAAACAUGGCUUAGCUGAAGCAUAGGAUAGAGGCCAUAGGAGGAUCAUUAUCGAUUCUCAAGAGGCAAUCAAGCUUACAAAAGAGAAGAAUUCUAAAUUUCAUAAAUUGGAUGCGGUUAUAUGUAGAUGUCAAGUUUUUUUGGCUAAGCAUGAUGUAAAGAAUCAUGAUUUGUUCCAGGUGUGGGACAUUCCUUCUCCGGGGCUACACUCUCUCCUUAUGACCGAUUCGUUGGUUCGUUGGGUUUCAAUUUUAGAAGAGUUUUUUAGUUUGUGUCAUUUAAUUUUCACUGCAUCAAAAAAAAAAAAAAUUCCUAACUAUUACUUCAACUUUCUUGCUUAUUAGCAAUCAUACAACAACAGCAGCAACAAGUAACAGCAUCACUUGUCUUUCAUCCUUUUACAGUUCCAUAACACCAAAACAGCUUUGUGAAUACAUGUUUAACCGUAAAAUAAAAUACGAAAAAAGAUGAAUUUUAAGAGAGAGAGAGAGAGGCUCUCAACUUUAUUUUAUAUUAAAGAAAACGAAAAGGAGAAGCAUGCAUUUUGACAUUUGUUUAUCCUCAGUCCCACACUUUCUUUCAGUCCUUACAAGUGGCAAAAAUGAGAAGUGCCACCAAAUUGUGACAUGCAUGACUCACCACCCUUCAGCUAUGCUCCUCCUUAUACGGUGGCUAGGAUUUAUUUAUUUUACGAAGCAAAACCAUGUGCUCAUUUCAAGGCAGGCAGAGAAGCUUUUGGCUUGUUGUGGAGUAAAGGGCAAAAAAAUCUAGCCAUCCCAAGAACCCGAUUUUGUCCCCACUUUCUUAUUGUCACCAUGUGGUAGUUGAAUGUUAAUACAGCCAUCUCACCAUAAAAAAUUACCAUCGGCUUUUGCUGGUUUCCUCACCCAAAACAACCAGCAGGAAGCCUUUAGCCUCAGGUUUUUUCCUCAACUUUUGGCAUUCUCACCUAUAUAACCAAACCCCAUCCUCCCAUCGGAUUCAUCAAAGCAUAGCUCGAGCUUUCUUACUCUCUACAAAUCCUACUACAAACUUGUUGGUUCUAUAUUACAGUAACAUAAAAAAUGAGUUCAGCGAGUAAAGCUUGGUUGGUUGCCGCUGCUAUCGGAGGUGUUGAGGCGUUGAAAGAUCAAGGGUUCUGUAGGUGGAACUACACAUUGAGAUCCCUCCACCACCAUGCCAAGAACCAUGUCAGAUCAGUCUCUCAGGCCAAGAAGCUUUCUUCUUCGUCCUCAGCCAUGAUCUCAAAUAUAGUCAAGGAAGAGAAGGCAAAACAGUCAGAGGAGUCUUUAAGAAAAGUCAUGUACUUGAGUUGUUGGGGUCCAAACUGAAGCUAUGAAUCUAGUAGAUGAAAUCGAGGGACUUAGUUUAUAGUUUAUAGGAGUAAAUCCUUGCAAGCUUAUGCAAAUUGUAAAUUUUGAUGCACAUUUUCUGAAAUCGAACAUUAUCACAUGUUUUUAUCAUUUCUUUUGGUAGCGCGAGUGCAUUUCCCUAGUGAGUAAAUUUAACAAAGCUCUUUUCUAGUUUUCUAGUGGAA